CCUACGGGAGGCAGCAGUGGGGAAUCUUGCGCAAUGGGCGAAAGCCUGACGCAGCGACGCCGUGUGCGCGAUGAAGGUUUUCGGAUCGUAAAGCACUGUCGCCGGGGAAAAAGAAAGUGAUGGUACCGGGAGAGGAAGCACCGGCUAACUCUGUGCCAGCAGCCGCGGUAAU
RNAcentral lists this ribosomal RNA (172 nucleotides) under uncultured delta proteobacterium GT28. RNAcentral describes it as "partial 16S ribosomal RNA". It matches the Rfam family "Bacterial small subunit ribosomal RNA", at positions 338 to 524 of the family's 1533-position model. Lineage: Bacteria; Deltaproteobacteria. The record is from RNAcentral.